RNAcentral lists this ribosomal RNA (474 nucleotides) under Scriptaphyosemion guignardi. RNAcentral describes it as "partial 16S ribosomal RNA". It matches the Rfam family "Bacterial large subunit ribosomal RNA", at positions 1923 to 2551 of the family's 2925-position model. Lineage: Eukaryota; Metazoa; Chordata; Actinopteri; Cyprinodontiformes; Nothobranchiidae. The record is from RNAcentral.
UUUAACGGCCGCGGUAUUCUGACCGUGCAAAGGUAGCGCAAUCAAUUGUCUUUUAAAUGAAGACCCGUAUGAAUGGCACAACGAGGGCUUAACUGUCUCCUUUUUCUGGUCGAUGAAAUUGAUCUCCCCGUGCAGAAGCGGGGAUAAUAACAUAAGACGAGAAGACCCUAUGGAGCUUAAAACGCAAGAAUAGACCAGACCAAUAAACUUAAGUUAAUAAAACAAACCAACUGGCCCCUAUUCCAGUGUUUUUGGUUGGGGUGACCACGGGGUAACAUAAAACCCCCGAGCAGAAAGAAAAUACAAUUUUUUUACUCAAGGGCAACAGCCCUAAAGACCAGAACCUCUGACUAUCAGAUCCGGCCAAGCCGAUUAACGGACCGAGUUACCCUAGGGAUAACAGCGCAAUCCUCUUUUAGAGCCCAUAUCGACAAGAGGGUUUACGACCUCGAUGUUGGACCAGGACAUCCUAAU